CCUACGGGGGGCAGCAGUGAGGAAUAUUGGUCAAUGGACGAGAGUCUGAACCAGCCAAGUAGCGUGAAGGAUGACUGCCCUAUGGGUUGUAAACUUCUUUUAUAUGGGAAUAAAAUGUUCCACGUGUGGGAUUUUGUAUGUACCAUAUGAAUAAGGAUCGGCUAACUCCGUGCCAGCAGCCGCGGUAAUACGGAGGAUCCGAGCUUGAUCCGGAUUGAUUGGGUUUAAAGGGAGCGUAGGUGGAUUGUUAAGUCAGUUGUGAAAGUUUGCGGCUCAACCGUAAAAUUGCAGUUGAAACUGGCAGUCUUGAGUACAGUAGAGGUGGGCGGAAUUCGUGGUGUAGCGGUGAAAUGCUUAGAUAUCACGAAGAACUCCGAUUGCGAAGGCAGCUCACUGGACUGCAACUGACACUGAGGCUCGAAAGUGUGGGUAUCAAACAGGAUUAGAUACCCUGGUAGUC
This 460-nucleotide ribosomal RNA is filed under the name uncultured bacterium. Its description in RNAcentral is "partial 16S ribosomal RNA". It matches the Rfam family "Bacterial small subunit ribosomal RNA", at positions 338 to 795 of the family's 1533-position model. The record is from RNAcentral.